UACGAAGGGGGCUAGCGUUGCUCGGAAUUACUGGGCGUAAAGCGCACGUAGGCGGCUCUUUAAGUCGGAGGUGAAAUCCUGGAGCUCAACUCCAGAACUGCCUUCGAUACUGAAGAGCUCGAGUCCGGGAGAGGUGAGUGGAACUGCGAGUGUAGAGGUGAAAUUCGUAGAUAUUUGCAAGAACACCAGUGGCGAAGGCGGCUCACUGGCCCGGUACUGACGCUGAGGUGCGAAAGCGUGGGGAGCAAACAGG
Molecule: ribosomal RNA, 253 nt
Filed under: uncultured bacterium
Lineage: Bacteria
Description: partial 16S ribosomal RNA
Rfam family: Bacterial small subunit ribosomal RNA
Source: RNAcentral